This 611-nucleotide long non-coding RNA is filed under the name Amborella trichopoda. Its description in RNAcentral is "long non-coding RNA (ATRI_LNC004183)". The record is from RNAcentral. Lineage: Eukaryota; Viridiplantae; Streptophyta; Magnoliopsida; Amborellales; Amborellaceae.
AGCCCUAAUUUAUAGAGUUACGAAGUUGUAUACUACUAAAGCAAGUAACACAUGAAAUAAACCACCUUCCUAAUAUGGGUACACAUAAAAAAAAUGAAAAUAUUGUACCAAAAAAUAAGUGCAGGUUUCUAUAAUUUCCAUAUGAAGUAGUAAAAACAAGAUAUGGGGACUUAUAGCGUCAUUAAGGGAAUGGCCCUUAAUAGAACUGAAUGGCAAACCAUGAUUCAUGUAGCCGACUGAGAAAAGGCUUUGAUGAUGAUGACAAUAAUGAUCAGUGCUUUAAAUACAAGACUCGAUCCCCUGCUAUGCUAAGCCGGAUUCUGAUCCAGCUUGAGCAAGUCGACCCACCCCAUAGUAGAAUGGUCCUAAAAAAAAAAGCUAAAACCAUCAAAAACAAAUCCUAAAAAUAGUAUUUAUGUAGUUUCACACAUAAAUUGAUGAGCAUGAUACUUAUCAUGGAUAUGAUACUAAUUACAAUAUUAUAUAAAGUUAUCAAAAAAUAGCAUUAUUUCAAAUAAAUAGAGUGUAUUUUUAAAAAAAAUAAACAAUGAGAAUCAAAAUUUGGAAUCUAAACAAAUUUUACAAGUAAAAAUUACAAAAGUGCAAAUCAU